CAUGAACAUAGGGUGAAGUUAAAGCAUCCUGUUACAGAUACUGGCAACAUAAUGAAUAUACCUGUAUUUCUAAUUCCUUUUUCUUUUUUAUAGCAUUUUAUCACUUUCUACUAUACUAUACUAUUAUUCAAUAUGUUUAUUAUUACCUGACUUUCCACUUUAAACUGUAAGCUCCACAGAUGAGAAAUUUUUAUCUAUUUCAUUUAGUGAUAUUUUCAUAAUUUAGAAUAAUGCCUUGUAUAUGUACGUCCUUGGUAACUAUUUAUGAAAUGAACACCUUUAAGGCUAUAAGAUAUAAACUGUCUGUAUUUUGUCUCUUGUCCCUGACCAUUUCUGAGAUGCGAUACCCUGGAUGAAGAUUUUUCUGGACACUGAGUUGUUCUUGGAGAUGAUCAGGCAGUCUGCACCCUGGAAGUGUAAUCUAACUGCUAAGGAGAUAUUAUCUUCGUCCAGUUAAUCCUCAAUUUGCUGUUGCGCUGCAGACUAUCUGAACAGAAUUCAUGAUUUGUGCUUUCAAACAUCUGAGCUGAGAAGAGGAGCCUUUGCAAGUUUUAGUACAUGUGUUUUACCAUCCAUAUUCAUGAAGAAAAUCAGCAUGUAUAGGUCUCCCAUACCCGGUGAUGUACAGUAGUGCUGGAUAGCUCUGGAGAGCAGUUCUGGCUGGCAAAGAAAGCAGCAAGGAUUGCUAGGAACCAUCUCGCCAUUCAAAGCUGAAAGUUGGCUGCAGAGUAGAUUUUGGUUUUCCCCAUGGAUGCUGAAAGAGAAGGGAAGAAUCAUUUCUGACAAUUCUGCAUGGCUUCUGCAUUGCAACUGGAUGUAGAAUCUGCUCCUGUUUGCAUCCAUGUUCCCAGGAUGAAUUUUUAUUGACAGAAGAAAAGGUAGCUGCCUCACCAGCCCAAGGAGAUGGUGCCAUAUUGAAGACUCAAUUUUGGUUUAUUUGGCUGGAAGAAGGGACACUCAGCAAUGUAGGAAACCAAUACAUCUUCCAAUCUGAUGGGAUCUUCAAACUCAUAAGAUUUUCCUAAAUGCUGACUGGAGGGUUUGAGCUGAUAUCCAUGGAACGAGAAUGAUUAUUCGUUUUUUGUGUUUUUUUGGUGCCAGGGAUUGAACUCGGGACCUUGAGCUUGCAAGGCAGGCACUGGAACCACUGAGCUAAAUCCCCGACCUGAGAAUGAUUAUUUGUAAUGCAGACCAUUUUCUUGCCUCCAGCCCAUAGAAAAC
This 1221-nucleotide long non-coding RNA is filed under the name Heterocephalus glaber (naked mole-rat). RNAcentral describes it as "lncRNA (ENSHGLG00000033767.1)". Lineage: Eukaryota; Metazoa; Chordata; Mammalia; Rodentia; Bathyergidae. The record is from RNAcentral.